CUUAGGCAUCAUGAGUUUACCUCUCGCUGCAAUUUCUCAUGGGCUCUUUGAGAUAUACAGUAUUGUCAUCAAAAUCUGUCUGAUAAAGCAAAGCUUGUCAUGUUCUUAUUUGAACUUUUUCAGAGAGAAUUCAAGAGAUUAGCAUGAGUACAUCAGAGAUGCCCUGACAGUUGACAGAGUGUUUUUGCUGUGGUUGUGUGUUUGGUAUUCAAAUAGAUCCCUUUUUGAUGAGUAAGAGAGAGCCCCACCCCUUUAAGAACAGGGCUAAACUCCUAUGUGCAUAUACUUAGUUGAGCAGGUUGCAAAGCAGCAAGUCGAUCUCCAACUUGCUCCCACUAAUAGCUGGAAUACUACAGACAAAUUGUAAACACACUACUUUCACAGCAGGGGUGUGCUAUUGCUGCUUUUACUUGCCAUAGGAGUUGGCACAAGUCACACACACACACACAGACACACACACACACAUAUACACCCACGCACGCACGCACACCCACGCACGCACACACACAGACAAACAGUUUCUUCUGCAGGUUUGAACUGCGAUCAAGAUGGGCAAUGAGCAUUCCAAAAACAAGGCUGAGCAGGCUCCAGAAAAGCCCCUGCAUGGAGGUUUGAAUGGCCAUGCUGUAAGCAUCUCAUCCAAUGGCCUGGAGAAUGUUACCAGUGAAGCAGCUGUGGAGCAGAACAGUAUGCCUACCUCACUGCCUCCCUCUGAAGAGUCAGGUAUAGUGGAGGCAGAUGGCAGUGGUCUUGGGCCUGUGGUGGUGGAACAGAAGUCUGCCGUCAAGAAGGUUCCAGAAGUGGAACCAGAGACACAGAAUGCUAAGACUCAAAACACAGCGGAACCGGAACUGGAACCAGCCACCCAAGAGAAGGAGGAGCCCAAGAACAGUACACAAGAAAAAGUGAACAUCUUUGAAAAUCUGUUCAAGAAGAAAGCUAAGCCUCAACCCACCCCCAACCCGGAUCCAGCCCUGGAAAAGGAGGAGCCCAUAAGGGAGAAGAUUGUGGAGGAGAUUGAAAGUUCUGCGGAAGAUCAGAAAGUCCCUGUGGCUGUGACCGAUGGGAUCCAAGCUGAGCCACUUGCUGAGGUAAAGGAGGAUACAGAGACUUCAAAGGAGCGUCCCAACCCUAGUCCAGAGGCAGAGGAGGUCAAAAGCCCCAAAAUUGCAGAGGAAAGCAGUCACAUUCAGGAAAACCAAGAGGGAGAGAGUCAAACAGAAGAUAAUCCAGUUAUGAACUUCUUCAAAACACUAGUGACUCCCAUAAAAAAAAACAAGCAAGAAACAGCCACCCCUGAUGUUGCAAAAGACCAGAAAGAGGCCCAACCAACAACAACUACUGCUGCACAACUAGUGGAUGCAACAGCCAAAGGAGGAAUGUUAAUCCCACCAGCUGCAGCCCCAGCCCCAGCCCCGGCCCCAGCCCCGGCCGCAGCCCCGGCCGCAGCCCCUGCCCCACCCGCAGCCGCAGCCCCAGCCCCAGCCCCACCUAAGAUGGAGGUUAAAGCAGAACUAGCUGCCCAACCUGUGACCAACGCACCAAAAGAAGAACCAAAGGGUGCUGCCAAAGAAGCAGAGGCCGCCAAGCCGAAAUCUGACCGCCCGUUCAGCAGACUUUUCAGCAGAAAGGCACUGAUAGGCCUCAAGUCUAAAAUCAAGGUUAAGUCAACAAGUGGAGCCAGAGCCCCUGCCAAGCCUGCUGCAGCGACUGUGGAACCAGUGGAGCCACAGCCGGUUGUGGAAGUACAGAAUGUAGACUUCUCAAAGACGGCCACUCUGGAGGCCUCUGCCACUCUAGAACCACCACCACCUGCACCAGAGGACGAGAAGACACCUGCUGCCUCCAAAGCCUCUCCUUUCACUUCCUUUUCUCUUUUCAAGACCAUGGCAGCUGUGCCGAAAAAGGAAGUCCCUGCCCCAGCUGCAGAAGCGGUAGCUGGCCCAAGUGUAGCCAAGGAUGAACCAAAGGCCCCAGAGGACCCUGCUGUGGACAGCAAGCCCGUGUCAGGGCCCUCCGAGGUUAUGGAGAAUUCCCCCGUCCUCCCUAAGAGACUGGAGAAGAGGAACUCCAUCCACUUGUUCUUCAAAAACCUGGGCAAACGCCAGUCAGAUGCAGGAGUACAAACAGAACCAGAGAAGACCAAAUAAAACGGAAACACCCUUUCAAACUUCACAUGCCAUAUCUGGAAAUGAACUUUUCAUUUGUUAGAUACAUUAUGUUUCUGAUCACACUAUUGAAGGGAUGAUGGUAAGAGCAAGUGGUUUGAGGGAGAGGGGUGGACUGUGGACUGGUCUGUUCUAGUCUAAUCUAAUCUGUGUGGAUGAUUUCAGAGAAUUGUUCUUUGUGGAGGAGGUAAAAUAUAUUUUCUGGUUUAAAGGCUUGAUAGGUAGAGAAAAGUGGUUUUGUUACAUGUACUGAGAGCAAAAUCCAUUUCUAUACAGUAUUUACCCUUCUUUUAACAUGUCACUUAUUCCACGGAGGGCUGAGUGUCUGCGGGUUUUUGCUCCUCCCUUGAUUGAUUAAUUAAGGUCACUAAUUAGUAAAGAACUCCCCUCACCUGGUUGUCUAAGUCUAAAAACAAAACACCCACAGACACUAAGCCCUUCAUGGAAUGUGUUUGACACCACUGCUUUAACAUAUUAAUAUGUGUAAGGAUCUAAUGCAAAUAUUACGUUUAGCAUAUUUUUUUCCCCUCUUCAUAUACACAUUUUACUAGUCUGAAAAGAACUUGUGGAGUGCAUACAAUGGUUUCAGAUACGUUCAUAGGACGUCUUGGAGAAGAGAUGCAUAAAGCUUAGCUUGAGAUAGAAAUUGAAUAUACUCAAAAUUUAAUGGAGGAGUUGGCGAAAUGGUUGAUAUUCCUGCCAAGAUGUUUUUAUUUAGGCUAGACACAUGCAAUUUACAAUGUAAGCUUUAAACUUUGCAGGAACUGUACACGGAUGCAAAUAUAUGCCAAACACUAAAUUACAAUUUAUGAUUAUAAUCAUACACAGGGGGCGCUCCCAAUCAUUACUUUUUUGGGGAACUACACAGAUCUGGUUGUCUAUAUAGCUAACUGCACAGUCAUGCAUCAUAUUUGAUUAAUGUUUCACUGAAGUAUAAAGGUUUGUUCUAAUUUGGGUGCACUGCUUUACGUGUGUGCCUGUUUGAAUGCAGAUGUUAUAAUCUUGGGGAUCUUGUCUGUUAAUUUCUGCAUCUAUAAUUUGAUAAACUGCAUCUGGAAGUAGAAUGUUUAUUGUGACAGCAAAUUCCAAAUCAUGAAAACCUGCAAUGGGGUAUUGGGGGGGGGGGGGAGUUCUACUGAGCUAACAUAUGGAAUUUUUUUAAGAUCAUACCAUGGAUCCUUUAGCUAUUUAAUUUUUCAUUUAGGUAAAAUAUUGAAUUUGGCUUUUAAUGCUAUAGCCUAUAGAAAUGCAAUGAAUAACACAUUCAUAAAUGGCAAAACGGAGAGUACAAAAAGAAAUAAUAUAUAACGUUUUUGAAGUGUCUGUCCUACAUCUAGGAGAUGUAAUAAUGUUCAGGAUUUACACAUAUUUAACCCAUUUUUUGGGGGUGUCACAAAACUACUUCUAUAUAUUUUUUAUUAUGUUAAUUAAAUUGACGCACGGGUGCGUUGAUGGACUUUAGGGGGUAUUUAAAGCUAUUUUCCUGUAACUGUUUAAAGAGAAUAAAUGUGUACAAUUAUUUGUUUUCUUGUUUUCUAUCUCACAAUUUAGGCCAAAAGUUAUCAGUAUAGGGAAAUAUGAAAACAUAUUUAGAGUGAAAUUAAAUGUCCCUGUAAUAUAGUGAUUUAAUGUUAUCAAACAGUACUAUCAAGUGCUGCAAUAACUGAAAAAGACAUGACCCAACAAGUUUAUCAACACAUCUUGUAUUCCCAAAGUAGGGAGCCAAGCUGUUUUCAGCUAUGUUAGAAGUAUGGAG
RNAcentral lists this long non-coding RNA (3924 nucleotides) under Salmo salar (Atlantic salmon). RNAcentral describes it as "lncRNA (ENSSSAG00000093911.1)". The record is from RNAcentral. Lineage: Eukaryota; Metazoa; Chordata; Actinopteri; Salmoniformes; Salmonidae.